This 84-nucleotide transfer RNA is filed under the name Candidatus Woesearchaeota archaeon. RNAcentral describes it as "tRNA-Leu". It matches the Rfam family "tRNA". From Rfam's summary of the family: Transfer RNA (tRNA) molecules are approximately 80 nucleotides in length. Their secondary structure includes four short double-helical elements and three loops (D, anti-codon, and T loops). Lineage: Archaea; Nanobdellati; Candidatus Woesearchaeota. RNAcentral also lists the same sequence under 1 other name. The record is from RNAcentral.
GCUGGAGUUCCAGAGCGGUCAAAUGGGCUGGACUUAAGAUCCAGUGGCUUAGUGCCUUCGCAGGUUCGAAUCCUGCCUCCAGCA